This 253-nucleotide ribosomal RNA is filed under the name uncultured bacterium. RNAcentral's name for it is "partial 16S ribosomal RNA". It matches the Rfam family "Bacterial small subunit ribosomal RNA", at positions 524 to 776 of the family's 1533-position model. The record is from RNAcentral.
UACGUAGGGGGCAAGCGUUGUCCGGAAUCAUUGGGCGUAAAGCGCGUGUAGGCGGCUAGAUAAGUCUGCUCUGAAAGCCCGGGGCUCAACCCCGGGAGGCGGGUGGAUACUGUCUAGCUCGAGUCCGGAAGAGGAGUGUGGAAUUCCUGGUGUAGCGGUGAAAUGCGCAGAUAUCGGGAAGAACACCCGUGGCGAAGGCGGCUCUCUGGGACGGUACUGACGCUGAGACGCGAAAGCGUGGGGAGCGAACAGG